UGAUGAUGGAUGUGAAUGGACAUCUUAAGGAUAACUGGAUGUGGCAUCUUCAGAAACAGUGGCGUUUUGGUGGGCGGAAGAGAUAAUCCAGCCUGCCAAGUGCUAUGCACUCGUUCCAGUGCCAAAAUACAAAACACACCAGCAGCUUUAAUGUAGUUUUUUAAACUGCUGUGCUUCAAUGGGCUGUUGCAGUAACUUGGGAUGAAGAAGUUAGGCUGCUCACCAGUUUGUUUUGCCAGGCUGAUCCUCCAUGAGUGACUCAUAGCUAAAUGAACACAGCAGCCUAAAGGCGUGCCCUCACUGC
This 304-nucleotide long non-coding RNA is filed under the name Gallus gallus (chicken). Its description in RNAcentral is "long non-coding RNA NONGGAT001313". The record is from RNAcentral. Lineage: Eukaryota; Metazoa; Chordata; Aves; Galliformes; Phasianidae.